RNAcentral lists this long non-coding RNA (1465 nucleotides) under Drosophila guanche. The record is from RNAcentral. Lineage: Eukaryota; Metazoa; Arthropoda; Insecta; Diptera; Drosophilidae.
GCAAUGACUGCACCAUCAAGUGGCCCAUGCGACACCAAGCCAAAGCCUGUUACGAGCGGAACCCAGCAGAACGCAGCCCUCCUUCCGCCCAACCGACCGAGGGGCGCUGCCGCAUGACGCGCGGCGCGAUUAACCGAACCGGUCGCGAGCAUGCAGGAAAGAUAGAUGUUAGGCUAAUAUUCGAGGAAAAUUAGAACUAAACACAACUAAACCAGGGCAAGUAUAGCUAAGCAAGCAAAACUAUUAAAGUCAGAAACAAGACAAAGCUAAAAUGAAACUAACUACGUGAGAGGUAGGCUGGUAUAACAGAUUUAAGAAGAGGAAGAGAGUUAGUUGAGGAUAUAAUGUGGUAGAGAGAAUUAUAAUCCGAGCAUAAAACCCUAAAGGGUUCGUGUGAGGCAUAAUUCGAUCUACAUAGUGGAAGGAACAAAGGAAUAAAGUUUCUAGUGGGUCUAAUGGGAAUCGUAAAGUUUAAGCGGCUCAACACGUCAGGGCUGUCUACAUCCCCCUGGAUCAAGUUGUGCAUAAAAAUUACACCAAGCAUUUUUCUACGACUAAAUAAGGAUAGAAGAUUUAUUAAAAGAAGUCUACUACGUUAGGAUGGCAGUAUCACAGUUGCAUCCCAGUUGAGGCUCCGUAGAGAAAAUAAUAAAAAGUUUUUCUGUACUGAUUCAAUACGGUCCUGAUAUAUGUUGUACUGAGGGCACCAUACACAUGAGCCGUAUUCUAAAAUCGGACGAACAAGCUAGAUAUAGAGAGUCUGCGUUAUAUAGGGGUCAUAAAAUUCCUUUGACCACCUCUUUAUAAACCCAAGCACACCCAUGGCUUUAUUUACCAUGGUUGAAAUGUGUUCAGAAAACUUUAACUUAGGGUCUAGUUUAACACCUAGAUCAUCAACCAAUGUAAUUCUCUCAAGAGAACUACCGCAGAGGGUGUAAGGAGCCAGGAAGGGGCUGGAGCGAUAAAAAGUCAUUACAUUGCACUUCGAGGCAUUAAGUUGUAACAUACUUGCACAGCACCAUGACUGAAAGCUAUUGAGAUCAGAUUGCAAGCGAGAGUCAAAUAAAAUGUCCUUAUACUGGACACAGAGCUUAACAUCAUCCGCAUACAUAAGUACUCAAGAAUUUGUUAAUACAGAAGGCCAUUAAUAAAGAGUGUGAAAAGUAAGGGGCCUAAAUGGUUACCCUGUGGUACUCCAGUAACCAUAACAGGUAAAGAUAAGGAGUUUUUGAAAAGGGCCCUUUGAGACCUAGAACACAGGUAGAUGGAAAUCCAUCUCAACAGAUUGGGCGGAAACCCUAGAAGGUCGAGCUUUUGUGCAAGAAGAGAAUGGUUUACAGAAUCGAAUGCCUUACUGAAGUCAGUGUAAAUAACAUCCGUCUGCAAGUUACCUUGGAAACCUUUAAUGACAAGGGAGGUGAACUCUAAAAGAUUAGUAGUUGUUGAUCGUCGCCGUAUAAAUCCG